GAUGAAGAACGUAGCGAAAUGCGAUACGUAAUGUGAAUUGCAGAAUUCAGUGAAUCAUCGAAUCUUUGAACGCAUAUUGCGCUCUUUGGUAUUCCGAAGAGCAUGCUUGUUUGAGUAUCAGUAAACACCUCAAAGCUUUUGGAUUUUUUAAUCGAAAAGCUUUGGACUUGAGCAAUCCCAACACCAAUCUUUUUGAGAUCGGUGGCGGGUUGCUUGAAAUGCAGGUGCAGCUGGACAUUCUCCUGAGCGAAAAGCAUAUUCAUUUAGUCCCGUCAAACGGAUUAUUACUUUUGCUGCAGCUAACAUAAAGGGAGUUUGACCGUAUUGGCUGACUGAUGCAGGAUUUCACAAGGGUCGGCAACGAUUCUUGUUAAACUCGAUCUCAAAUCAAGUAAGACUACCCGCUGAACUUAAGCAUAUCAAUAAGCGGAGGA
Molecule: unclassified non-coding RNA, 434 nt
Filed under: soil metagenome
Description: partial contains 5.8S ribosomal RNA, internal transcribed spacer 2, and large subunit ribosomal RNA
Rfam family: 5.8S ribosomal RNA (bases 1-120)
Source: RNAcentral